AGCCCUUAGCGAAACAAGUAUUAAAGGUACCGCCUGCCCAGUGAAAAANNNNNNNNNCUUUAACGGCCGCGAGACANAACCGUGCGAAGGUAGCGAAAUCACUUGUCUCCUAAAUAGAGACCUGUAUGAAAGGCCUCAUGAGAAAGAAACUGUCUCUUGAAGAUAGUAAAUGAAACUGAUCUGCCUGUGAAAAAGCAGGCAUAAUAAAACAAGACAAAAAGACCCUGUGAAACUUUAAUUACAGCGCUACCUUUAUUGGCACCACUUUUAGGUUGGGGCAACCAGAGANGAAACAAAACCUCUUNCACCCGACUAGACCAACGAGUCUGGCCAACUUUCAUAUCGACCCAGUAAAACUGAUCAACGAACCAAGCUACUCCAGGGAUAACAGCGCCAAAUUCUUGAAGAGUCCUCAUCAACAAGAAUCCCUACGACCUCGAUGUUGGAUCAGGGUAACCUGACAGUGCAGACGCUGUCAAAGGUUCGUUUGUUCAANCGAUUAAUAUCCU
This 509-nucleotide ribosomal RNA is filed under the name Agama boulengeri. RNAcentral's name for it is "partial 16S ribosomal RNA". It matches the Rfam family "Bacterial large subunit ribosomal RNA", at positions 1817 to 2597 of the family's 2925-position model. The record is from RNAcentral. Lineage: Eukaryota; Metazoa; Chordata; Lepidosauria; Squamata; Agamidae.